Long non-coding RNA from Numida meleagris (helmeted guineafowl), 1927 nucleotides. RefSeq lists it as uncharacterized. The record is from RefSeq and is a predicted model, not a curated record. Lineage: Eukaryota; Metazoa; Chordata; Aves; Galliformes; Numididae. The transcript is spliced from 5 exons.
GGGGGCGGGGCCUCGCGGGGAGGGGUUGUGGCCGCUGUGAGCGGGUGCCUGUUGGUGGCUGCUGUUGGUGGGCGUCGCUGCGCCGUGUGGGGGCGCUGGCUCGUUCCCAGGCCGCAGUGGCCGCUUCCGUGUGGCCAGGCGAGCCCUGUGCCUGCCUUGGGCAAGGGUCGCCUUCACCCGGGGCUGUCGCUCGCUGAGUCUCCCCCGGUGUGCAGGUGUUACCUUGCACUCCCUGGCAGCCGCGUUGCGGUGUGUGGACUUCCAACCCCGCCACCAAACCUUUUGUUUCUCUGCAGGCCGCAAGUGUGUGCAGGCGGCAAUGCAUCAAUGUUGAUGGCCUGAGGGAGCUCAGGGAGGCAGCUUCGUGAGUGAUCGCUUGCUGAGACCGAGAAGCCCGGGCUGCCUCCUACCCGUGCUCGUGGUGCGGAGCCAGCAGCCAGCAGGGGCUGCUCGGGAGCCGCCCGGCGCCCCUCUCCCUGCCCGGCCUGCCCCUGCCCGGCUGCUGCGGGCAUAUGACACAGAUGAGUUUUCUGCAAUAUUGUCCAAAGUAGAAUAAAGGAAGCUACUGAUGACAAAUAAGGGAAGCACAGAAGAUCAGUUCUUCGGCCACAAUUCCUCAAGCUACUGCCUCCAGAAAAGAAGAUGCAGCUUCCUGAGAUAUGUUACUAAGGAAGCCCGAGGGACCAUUCCAUCGCCCAAACACUGGCCUACAGACACUGCUCCAGACGUUGCUCUUGAGGGACUGGGCAUCCUAUAUCUGCACCGUCCCUGAGUGAAUGACUCCCAUGUCCCAUGUUGUCACAGCAAAGGAUCUGACUUUGUCAGCUAAACUCUAAGCUCAGCCAUGGAACUCCUCCAAAGGGUGCUCUCUGUGUCUGGAUCGGGUGCUCCAGGGCCUGCCCCAAGGGUUGCUGGAGCUCUCACUAUUAGCUUCCUAACUUCCCAAUGAAGCGUGAACAACCUGACUAAUUGUUCGUGCCAGUUGACUAAUCAUAAUAAAAAACUAUAAUUAAAAAAAAAAAAGAAUGCAGCAUGAGCUCCCGUUGCCUCUACGUCCUUGACAUGAUCAGACAACUGCCUGCUCUGCUGCCCUCAGAGCUGGAUCCGGCUUUGGUGCAGAUGGCAACAAGUGCAGAUGAAGAGGUGACACAACCAGCACUCAGAGCCAUUGCACCCUGCUCUGAAUGAUGGGUAGCAGUGCUGUGAGGCUGUCCUGCAAUCACUAACACUUUCCUGCAACUUUUGGCUGUCCUUGGCACAAGCCUUGCCCGGAUACAGAGCAAAGAGGCUGGGAAAGCCCAGCCACAGCUGUAAUUUCUGUCUUCACAUACACUUUCCUACACAGUAUUUUAAACUUUAAGCUUUCUCUUUUCACGAUACUGAAGAAAAUGAAGUAAAUUUACUUUGGUCUAAGUGCAGCUUUGAAUGUAAUGGCAUCUCUUGUUCACUCAUAAUUAAUCCAGAUAACAACAGCUAGAAUUAUAAUAAUAAUGAUGGCAAAUGGGAUUGACUAAGUAAUGUGCUGUUUCAACUCUGUCUCUACCACAGGAAGAAGGAACUAGAGGGCAUAAAAAUAAUGGUGAUGGGAAAGACCUCACUGAAAAGAGUGAGGAAAAGAGCCAGAGAAAGGCUUUGGGUAGCGUGCACCUACUUAACCUGGGGUCUCACUUCAGGCUGCAAUCCCCAGUAGCUGGAUUACUAUAGAAAGCUCCAAUAUCCUUCCAGCUAUCCCAACUCACUGUGUUUCCUUUUGUGGGAGGGUGCUGUACUCUGUAUCCACAAAACAACCGAGGGUAUGAGCAGUCCUUCACAGAAAGCGGGCAAGAUAUACUCUGGAUUAUUUCAUCAAACUCUCUUACACUGAGCUCCAGAAACAGUUGUGCCAGUGCCAGUGAGGGACUACAGCAUGGGGUAGGGGGAGGCUCCC